This is a long non-coding RNA of Hyla sarda, 313 nucleotides long. RefSeq lists it as uncharacterized. The transcript has 3 exons. Lineage: Eukaryota; Metazoa; Chordata; Amphibia; Anura; Hylidae. The record is from RefSeq and is a predicted model, not a curated record.
CAGCAGUGACUUCACUAAGGUUGGCCCGUGCCUCAAGCCGGGCCAGAACUGAAGCUAACGGAGGAGAUUACUGGAGAUCCCCUGCACGGAAUGGGACAAUGGAGUGUUCGGAAGGAUUGUAAGCUGCAGGACCAAAAAGACUCACUCUACAUGCGAAUCAAGGUGUUGUACUCUUAGCACAACACUAUAUGCAGAACAAGUUAAUCGCAUUAUGUCUGAGAAGCCUUCUCUUGGCUGUAGGCCACCUCCAUAGAAGACAAGGAUUAAAUGCUGAAUGUGCAGACAGAAGAAAAAAAAAUCACUUUCAUACAGG